This 490-nucleotide ribosomal RNA is filed under the name uncultured bacterium. RNAcentral describes it as "partial 16S ribosomal RNA". It matches the Rfam family "Bacterial small subunit ribosomal RNA", at positions 30 to 507 of the family's 1533-position model. The record is from RNAcentral.
AUUGAACGCUGGCGGCAGGCCUAACACAUGCAAGUCGAACGGUAACAGGAAACAGCUUGCUGUUUCGCUGACGAGUGGCGGACGGGUGAGUAAUGUCUGGGAAACUGCCUGAUGGAGGGGGAUAACUACUGGAAACGGUAGCUAAUACCGCAUAACGUCGCAAGCCCAAAGAGGGGGACCUUCGGGCCACUUGCCAUCGGAUGUGCCCAGAUGGGAUUAGCUAGUAGGUGGGGUAACGGUUCACCUAGGCGACGAUCCCUAGCUGGUCUGAGAGGAUGACCAGCCACACUGGAACUGAGACACGGUCCAGACUCCUACGGGAGGCAGCAGUGGGGAAUAUUGCACAAGGGGCGCAAGCCUGAUGCAGCCAUGCCGCGUGUAUGAAGAAGGCCUUCGGGUUUUAAAGUACUUUCAGCGGGGAGGAAGGGAGUAAAGUUAAUACCUUUACUCAUUGACGUUACCCGCAGAAGAAGCACCGGCUAACUCCGUG